AGAUAUGAGGGCAAUCUGAUUGAGACAUGCUUCACCCCACUGAUUGCCAGUAUUGAUUCAGUUAAUCUGGCUGGCUAAGUGGGUGUCUGCUUCCUCCCUCACCACUCCACCUGCAUCCUCCCCAACCCUGCACACUCAGCUGAGGAGAAAAGUCUUCCCUGCUGACACAGACUGGUCUUAAGUCAAGGGUGUGCAAGUAACUGCACUCCUUGACCCUCUAAAGUCUCUCAAGAACACAGCUGUGCAGCCCCCCUGCUUGUACACCCUACUUCCCUCUCUUCCACAGUGUUUCCUGAGCCCUGAGGAAGUGGUGU
This 314-nucleotide small nuclear RNA is filed under the name Mus caroli (Ryukyu mouse). RNAcentral's name for it is "sRNA (MGP_CAROLIEiJ_G0008867.1)". It matches the Rfam family "7SK RNA". From Rfam's summary of the family: 7SK was discovered as an abundant small nuclear RNA in the mid-70s but a possible function has only recently been suggested. Two independent studies have found that 7SK RNA binds the CDK9/cyclin T complex (known as elongation factor P-TEFb). The record is from RNAcentral. Lineage: Eukaryota; Metazoa; Chordata; Mammalia; Rodentia; Muridae.